GGCGGCAUGCUUUACACAUGCAAGUCGAACGGCAGCACGGGGGCAACCCUGGUGGCGAGUGGCGAACGGGUGAGUAAUAUAUCGGAACGUACCCGGAAAUGGGGGAUAACGUAGCGAAAGUUACGCUAAUACCGCAUAUGCCCUGAGGGGGGAAGCGGGGGAUUCGCAAGGACCUCGCGUUUUCGGAGCGGCCGAUAUCGGAUUAGCUAGUAGGUGAGGUAAAGGCUCACCUAGGCGACGAUCCGUAGCUGGUCUGAGAGGACGACCAGCCACACUGGAACUGAGACACGGUCCAGACUCCUACGGGAGGCAGCAGUGGGGAAUUUUGGACAAUGGGCGCAAGCCUGAUCCAGCCAUGCCGCGUGAGUGAAGAAGGCCUUCGGGUUGUAAAGCUCUUUCAGCCGGAAAGAAAACGCACGGGUUAAUAACCUGUGCGGAUGACGGUACCGGAAGAAGAAGCACCGGCUAACUACGUGCCAGCAGCCGCGGUAAUACGUAGGGUGCGAGCGUUAAUCGGAAUUACUGGGCGUAAAGCGUGCGCAGGCGGUUUUGUAAGACAGAUGUGAAAUCCCCGGGCUUAACCUGGGAACUGCAUUUGUGACUGCAAGGCUAGAGUACGGCAGAGGGGGGUAGAAUUCCACGUGUAGCAGUGAAAUGCGUAGAUAUGUGGAGGAAUACCGAUGGCGAAGGCAGCCCCCUGGGUCGAUACUGACGCUCAUGCACGAAAGCGUGGGGAGCAAACAGGAUUAGAUACCCUGGUAGUCCACGCCCUAAACGAUGUCAACUAGGUGUUGGGGGAGGAGACUUCCUUAGUACCGCAGCUAACGCGUGAAGUUGACCGCCUGGGGAGUACGGUCGCAAGAUUAAAACUCAAAGGAAUUGACGGGGACCCGCACAAGCGGUGGAUUAUGUGGAUUAAUUCGAUGCAACGCGAAGAACCUUACCUGGCCUUGACAUGCAGGUGGUAAAAGCCUGAAAGGGUGAUGACCCCGCAAGGGGAUCCUGCACAGGUGCUGCAUGGCUGUCGUCGGCUCGUGUCGUGAGAUGUUGGGUUAAGUCCCGCAACGAGCGCAACCCCUACGUCCUGUUGCCACCCAGUCAAAAACUGGAGCACUCUGGACGGACUGCCUCGCUCAAACGGGGAGGAAGGUGGGGAUGACGUCAAGUCAGUAUGGCCCUUAUGGCCAGGGCUGCACACGUACUACAAUGCCUGGUACAAUGGGAAGCGAUGCCGCAAGGCGGAGCAAAUCCCCUAAAACCAGGCCCAGUUCAGAUUGUCGGCUGCAACUCGCCGACAUGAAGCUGGAAUCGCUAGUAAUGGCGCAUCAGCUACGGCGCCGUGAAUACGUUCCCAGGCCUUGUACACACCGCCCGUCACAUCAUGAAAGCCGGCUGUACCCGAAGUCACUGAGCAAACCGCAAGGGUGCAGGUGCCGAAGGUAUGGCUGGUGAUUGGGA
This 1458-nucleotide ribosomal RNA is filed under the name metagenome. RNAcentral describes it as "bacterial SSU rRNA". It matches the Rfam family "Bacterial small subunit ribosomal RNA". The record is from RNAcentral.